AUACGGAGGGUGCAAGCGUUGUUCGGAAUUACUGGGCGUAAAGCGCGCGUAGGCGGUCUGUUAUGUCAGAUGUGAAAGUCCUCGGCUCAACCGGGGAAGUGCAUUUGAAACUGGCAGACUUGAGUACUGGAGGGGGUGGUGGAAUUCCCGGUGUAGAGGUGAAAUUCGUAGAUAUCGGGAGGAAUACCGGUGGCGAAGGCGACCACCUGGCCAGAUACUGACGCUGAGGCGCGAAUGCGUGGGGAGCAAACAGGAUUAGAUACCCUAGUAGUCC
This 274-nucleotide ribosomal RNA is filed under the name uncultured bacterium. RNAcentral's name for it is "partial 16S ribosomal RNA". It matches the Rfam family "Bacterial small subunit ribosomal RNA", at positions 523 to 796 of the family's 1533-position model. The record is from RNAcentral.